UUAUCGUCAUUUGAUUAUUUAAGCAUUGCUCCUAUGUUAUAGUUUUCCUAUCCUAGUGCUCCUCAGGUCUUCGAGUCAGAAAAGGGACGACCUACUCGUCGUCCUAGGGGUACCCAGAUUUUUAGGUCCCCGAUCAUCGCUGCUUUUGAGGUGCCUCCCACAAUGAUAUUGGAAAUGAUCGCUAAGAGUAUCUCAUUUCUUCCAAGAUCUAAGUGUAUCAUACUAGAGCCCUUCGACGGUGGACCAUCAACUAGCCCUAGAGUCGAGCCUUCCUCCGGAGUUCACUUCGAACAAUUGUACGCAUGUGAGUUGUCUUUUCUUUAUUGCUUUACACUACUUUACUUCUUAAAGCGUUAGUAGUACAUAUACACAUGCAAUUAUACAGAUAUAGAGAGACUAGUUUGAGCAUGUACACCGGCUCACUGCGGUGCUAAGUGAUAGUUCUUUGUCAUUAGCGAGGAUUGGAGGGUAAGUAAACAAAAAUGUACAUAAUGUAUGCAUGUUGUGUUAUGAAACGCAAUGGUAAUGCUUUAGGUUUUUUGCAGAACGGACCAUGAGGGUUUGUAGGGGCAGGUCAAUGCCCAUCAGCGGCCGAUUAAGAUUUUGACACUCCAGUUGUCUGCUCUUUGGACUCAAUGUUUAGACACCCAUUCCGAUGAGGGAAUAGAUGACUCGGGAGAGGGCUCCAACGACUUCGAUUAGAUUAACUGCUUUUCUUUUUUAGAACACUACUAUGUAUUAAUAUUCACUAUUGUGCUUUAACACUGGAUUUUGAAUAUUACAAUGAUUUUGAUUACAUAGAA
This 803-nucleotide long non-coding RNA is filed under the name Ricinus communis (castor bean). RNAcentral's name for it is "long non-coding RNA (RCOM_LNC002533)". Lineage: Eukaryota; Viridiplantae; Streptophyta; Magnoliopsida; Malpighiales; Euphorbiaceae. The record is from RNAcentral.